RNAcentral lists this ribosomal RNA (202 nucleotides) under Staphylococcus epidermidis. Its description in RNAcentral is "partial 16S ribosomal RNA". It matches the Rfam family "Bacterial small subunit ribosomal RNA", at positions 1 to 197 of the family's 1533-position model. Lineage: Bacteria; Bacillati; Bacillota; Bacilli; Caryophanales; Staphylococcaceae. The record is from RNAcentral.
UUUAUGGAGAGUUUGAUCCUGGCUCAGGAUGAACGCUGGCGGCGUGCCUAAUACAUGCAAGUCGAGCGAACAGACGAGGAGCUUGCUCCUCUGACGUUAGCGGCGGACGGGUGAGUAACACGUGGAUAACCUACCUAUAAGACUGGGAUAACUUCGGGAAACCGGAGCUAAUACCGGAUAAUAUAUUGAACUGCAUGGUUCA